RNAcentral lists this unclassified non-coding RNA (288 nucleotides) under uncultured Borreliella sp. RNAcentral describes it as "partial 5S-23S intergenic spacer". The stretch from base 111 to 288 matches the Rfam family "Bacterial large subunit ribosomal RNA", at positions 1 to 186 of the family's 2925-position model. Lineage: Bacteria; Pseudomonadati; Spirochaetota; Spirochaetia; Spirochaetales; Borreliaceae. The record is from RNAcentral.
UCAAAUAAUGUAAAAAAUAAAAUAGAUAUUGACAUGGAUUGAACAAAAGAUAUAUAUUAUUUUAUGUUGCAUAAACAAAUUGGCAAAAUAGAGAUGGAAGAUAAAAAUAUGGUCAAAGUAAUAAGAGUCUAUGGUGAAUGCCUAGGAGCUUUAAGGCGAAGAAGGUCGUGGUAAGCUGCGAAAAGCUUGGGGGAGAAGCAAACAUUUAUUGAUCCCAAGAUUACCGAAUGGAGUAAUCCAACUAGCAAGAUGCUAGUUAUCUAUUAUCUAAAUAAUAGAGGCGAUACC